Phascolarctos cinereus (koala) is the source of this 342-nucleotide non-coding RNA. Lineage: Eukaryota; Metazoa; Chordata; Mammalia; Diprotodontia; Phascolarctidae. The record is from RefSeq and is a predicted model, not a curated record.
GCAUAAAUCACAAAGAUCAACCUCACCAUUGAAGUGCCCAGCGCUCUCCUGAUUCAGCUUUUGGGGAAAGGUGCUCACUUCUUCAGUGUUGAUGGAAGGCAAUAACUGGAGAACCAUCCUCUACUCUGACAGUGAAGUGAUUCAAAGUGCUCUUCUGUGCAGUCUUGCCUGGAAAUGAACUCUGGAGGUCCCUGAUAUCUUCUGGAUGUUUCUAUAACUAUCAUGGCAGUGUCCUAGUGGAGAGUCAAACAUUGCUCAUCAGGAAGGCAGCAGGAAAGCUAUAUUUAAACAAUCAACAAGUAAUUAUUAAGCACUCACUAUGAUCCAGGCAUCUUUCUUAGU